RNAcentral lists this unclassified non-coding RNA (351 nucleotides) under uncultured bacterium. Its description in RNAcentral is "contains 16S-23S intergenic spacer region". The record is from RNAcentral.
UCACGUCUUACGACGGCAGUUUCACUAGAGUUCCCAGCGUUACCUGAUGGCAACUAGUGAUGGGGGUUGCGCUCGUUGCGGGACUUAACCCAACACCUCACGGCACGAGCUGACGACAGCCAUGCAGCACCUGUGCUGGUACCCGACUCUACGGGUCGCCGACCCUUUCGGGUGACUACUGCCAACAUGUCAAACCCCGGUAAGGUUCUUCGCGUUGCGUCGAAUUGAACCACAUGCUCCGCUGCUUGUGCGGGUCCCCGUCAAUUCCUUUGAGUUUUAGCCUUGCGGCCGUACUCCCCAGGCGGGGAACUUAAUGCGUUAGCUCGUGCCGUGAGGUGUUGGGUUAAGUCC